Molecule: long non-coding RNA, 404 nt
Organism: Penaeus indicus
Lineage: Eukaryota; Metazoa; Arthropoda; Malacostraca; Decapoda; Penaeidae
Exons: 3
Source: RefSeq, a predicted model, not a curated record
GACUUGCCUCGCUGUUGAAGAUAUUCAGCAAAAGAUUAUUCAGUUGAUGAAAGAGAAUGAAGUGUUGCAGGAAAAGGCAAUGGAUGCAGUGCCUGAUUAUAUUAAGGCAUCAGAAGAAUUUCUCUCUAACUCCUGAAAAAUCCACAAAAAUUAGACCGAGCCAAGAUCUUUAUGAGCUUUGGUUUGAAGGCCACUAUGCCGUGCACAGUUACUGAAAAAGAAGAAAGAAGAAGAGGAAGAAAAAGCCAGAGAGGAACAAGAAGGAAGAUCAGACAAUAGGGGCGAGGGUCAGUCAGGAGUUGAUGGAAGAGGUGGUAGGGGAGGAGGAAACACAAAUUUGGGUAGAGGGUUUGGGAAAGGAAUUAGACGAUUCGACUAUGGCGAAGAAGGUGGCAAGGCAGUGA